UCGGGUGCAGUAAGCUUGCAUCUGCUUUCAAAAACCGUACAGCAGCUCUUCCAUCUACUCUCAUUUUCAAGCUUUGAUCAAGAAGCCAGUGUUUUUCUUACUAAGAAGUCCUGCUGCAGAAGCAUCUAUUUAUUUGAUGCUCCUAUGACAUACUCCUGCAAAUGAAGAGGAAUUGAACUAUUUAGACAGAUGCUCUAGGUUGGAUGUUUCUGUAUGAGAGGACAGCUGAUUUACGCCGUGAUUGUUUGCCACCGAGCCGUCCUGCUGCCUCGCAAGCCGCACCCUUUGCUGCCAUCCCGAGGUUUGGAUUUGAUUUCCCUCGAGAAAGAAGCUGUGUUCACAUUCCCCAUCCACCUGUGUUGCCUCAA
Gymnogyps californianus (California condor) is the source of this 368-nucleotide long non-coding RNA. RefSeq lists it as uncharacterized. The record is from RefSeq and is a predicted model, not a curated record. Lineage: Eukaryota; Metazoa; Chordata; Aves; Accipitriformes; Cathartidae. The transcript has 3 exons.